Molecule: ribosomal RNA, 465 nt
Filed under: uncultured bacterium
Lineage: Bacteria
Description: bacterial SSU rRNA
Rfam family: Bacterial small subunit ribosomal RNA
Source: RNAcentral
CCUACGGGCCGCAGCAGUGGGGAAUAUUGCACAAUGGGCGCAAGCCUGAUGUAGCCAUGCCGCGUGUAUGAAGAAGGCCUUCGGGUUGUAAAGUACUUUCAGCGGGGAGGAAGGCGAUAAGGUUAAUAACCCUGUCGAUUGACGUUACCCGCAGAAGAAGCACCGGCUAACUCCGUGCCAGCAGCCGCGGUAAUACGGAGGGUGCAAGCGUUAAUCGGAAUUACUGGGCGUAAAGCGCACGCAGGCGGUCUGUCAAGUCGGAUGUGAAAUCCCCGGGCUCAACCUGGGAACUGCAUUCGAAACUGGCAGGCUGGAGUCUUGUAGAGGGGGGUAGAAUUCCAGGUGUAGCGGCGAAAUGCGUAGAGAUCUGGAGGAAUACCGGUGGCGAAGGCGGCCCCCUGGACAAAGACUGACGCUCAGAUGCGAAAGCGUGGGGAGCAAACAGGAUUAGAUACCCGCGUAGUC